RNAcentral lists this ribosomal RNA (440 nucleotides) under uncultured bacterium. RNAcentral's name for it is "partial 16S ribosomal RNA". It matches the Rfam family "Bacterial small subunit ribosomal RNA", at positions 338 to 795 of the family's 1533-position model. The record is from RNAcentral.
CCUACGGGAUGCUGCAGUGGGGAAUAUUGCACAAUGGGGGCAACCCUGAUGCAGCGACGCCGCGUGAAGGAAGAAGUAUUUCGGUAUGUAAACUUCUAUCAGCAGGGACGACAAUGACGGUACCUGACUAAGAAGCCACGGAUAACUACGUGCCAGCAUCCGCAGUAAUACGUAGGGGGCAAGCGUUAUCCGGAUUUACGGGGUGUAAAGGGAGCGGAGGCGGUGCAGACAGUCAGAAGUGAAAGCCCGGGGCUCAACUCCGGGACUGCUUUUGAAACUGUUGAACUAGAUUGCAGGAGAGGUAAGUGGAAUUCCUAGUGUAGCGGUGAAAUGCGUAGAUAUUAGGAGGAACACCAGUGGCGAAGGCGGCUUACUGGACUGUAAAUGACGCUGAGGCUCGAAAGCGUGGGGAGCAAACAGGAUUAGAUACCCGUGUAGUC